Molecule: unclassified non-coding RNA, 231 nt
Filed under: Hevea brasiliensis (rubber tree)
Lineage: Eukaryota; Viridiplantae; Streptophyta; Magnoliopsida; Malpighiales; Euphorbiaceae
Source: RNAcentral
GAGGUUUCAAAUGCCACACUCCAAAUAAUCCUGCAAUAUGCUUCCCUGUUCAUAAGAUUUAGAACUAGAAAAAAAGUUCCCUUAAUUUCAUUUCCUGGAUCACAAAGUAUGAUUGUUAAAUCAAGCAUUUAGUACAAGCAUCAUAUAUGUCAACAAUCAUUUUCACAAAUUUUGACAGGAACUAUUAUAACACCUCCUCAACAGGAAAUUGCGCACACAGCUAUUGGAGUU